RNAcentral lists this ribosomal RNA (394 nucleotides) under uncultured bacterium. RNAcentral's name for it is "bacterial SSU rRNA". It matches the Rfam family "Bacterial small subunit ribosomal RNA", at positions 228 to 654 of the family's 1533-position model. The record is from RNAcentral.
GGGUUGCGGGUCAUUAGCUAGUUGGUAAGGUAACGGCUUACCAAGGCGACGAGGGAGCUGAGAGGCUGGUCCCCCACACGGGCACUGAGAUACGGCCCUCCUACGGGAGGCAGCAGUAGGGAAUAUUGGGCAAUGGGCGAGGCCCCCAGCCAUGCCGCGUGCAGGAAGAAGGCUUUCUGAGUCGUAACUGUUGACAGGGAAGAAUAAGGACUACGUGUAGUCUGAUGACGGUACUGAAUAAGCACCGGCUAACUCCGUGCCAGCAGCCGCGGUAAUACGAGGCGAGCGUUGUCCGGAUUUAUUGGGUUUAAAGGGUGCGUAGGCGGCUAAGUCCGGGGUGAAAGCCCGUUGCUCAACAACGGAACUGCCCUGAUGGAAGGCUUGAGUACAGACG